GCUUUAGAUUGUGUUUCCACUCUGUUAUUUGUUGUAGAUGAAUGUGAGGAAAAUGGACUCAUCAUGCUGACAUGUUGAUAAUGGCUGCCCCUGAGCGCAGCGUGGUGAUGUAGUGUUUAGCACGUGAGACGCCUUUCAGGAUGGAGUGCAGUCUGGUAAUCAUAAAACACCGGCUGAGCCGAGACAAACGAACUGUCAGGAGCGCGCUCAGACCCAGAAAGGCCCCAGGUCGUUUUCCAGCUCCGUUCCAGAUCUUUCAGCGUAACUUAACAGCCUAAUUAUUUCUAUCAAACCCCCUGCUCGAGUUAUAACACACCACAUGGUGCACGGCGGAUCAUCUUCUUCGCUGUCUGAAUGGUUUUUUUUUGUUAAGUGCUAAUGAAAUCAAGAACACCCAGUCCUUUUUGUUUACUCCUGGCGUAGAGCUGUGAUAUUUUUAUUCUCUGUCUUACAGGAAGAAAUUUCAGAGUUUCCAGGACAGAAGGCUGAGGGUUAACGAAGACGAUGCAUCGACGCUAAAGAAGGCCAGGGUGGAUGGGAAGUUUCAUGAAGCUUUGCUGGACAGGAGAAGCAAAAUGAAAGCAGACAGAUACUGCAAAUGAAGACCGGGAGGAUUUCAACCGUGUUCUUGUUAAAGUCCUGCCUGUUGUCUAAUUGUGGUUGUGUGAUGUGGCUGGGUUUUUUUUUUUUUUUUGUUGUUGUUGUUUUUACAUUUUAAAAAUAAACCUUUUACUGGUUAAAAUGA
Long non-coding RNA from Poecilia latipinna (sailfin molly), 745 nucleotides. RefSeq lists it as uncharacterized. The transcript is spliced from 2 exons. The record is from RefSeq and is a predicted model, not a curated record. NCBI's taxonomy places the organism in Eukaryota, Metazoa, Chordata, Actinopteri, Cyprinodontiformes, Poeciliidae.